RNAcentral lists this long non-coding RNA (1067 nucleotides) under Piliocolobus tephrosceles (Ugandan red Colobus). RNAcentral's name for it is "lncRNA (ENSPTEG00000026960.1)". Lineage: Eukaryota; Metazoa; Chordata; Mammalia; Primates; Cercopithecidae. The record is from RNAcentral.
AUGGAAAAACAAAAAAAAUCAAAAUCUAAUGAAAAUUACAAAGAUAUGGUUGAUUGCUACUACUUGUUAUUAAGAAAGUAUAAAAAAAAAAGCACUUAUGUGAUCGAUGAAUUUUUAAUAAAGGAAAACAAAGAGAGUACUGGGACUUUAACAAUUUAUGAAGACGUUAAUUCGGAUCCAUUUUUUUUUUUAAUUUUGUCUAUAAUUGAUUCUAAAUACGAUAAAAUUAACAAAAUUAACAUUCUAAACGUACAAAAUGCUAAUGAUUUAUUAAAAGCGAUUUGUUUUUAUAUGGACAACAUUGAAAUUGAUGAGCUUUUAAAAAAAAACACAAAAAAUGCAAAAAAACAAAUUAUUAAUAAAACAAUAAACAAUAAAAGUAGUUUAACAAACAAACAAAAGGAAUCUGAAAAAAAAAAUGAUAAUAAAAUAUUAAGUAAAAUCAAGAAAUCCUCAUGUAAUAUAAAGUCUUUGAGUAUAUUUAAUAGCAACAUAGAUACAACUGGCAUAAUUUUUCUUUCUAAGAGUUUAUACGAUAAUGGAUACGCAAAAUUAGAAAAUCUAUCUAUAGAUUGCAUUAAUUUAAUCACUGAUGAUAUAAAAUAUUUAUCUUUGUCAUUGUGCAACUACAACGCAUUAAAAACUCUAAGUCUUCAAUAUUGCAACAUAAAUAAUGAUUCUAUUAGAUACAUAAUUGAUAUAAUCAUAUAUGUGAACUCUUCUUUAUUAACAUUGAAUUUAUGUGGAAAUCAUUUUAACGCACAAGGAAUAAGUAGACUUUUUGAAAGUUUUUUAUUAAACAAAUCUUUAAAAAGCAUUGACGUUUCUUACAACAUGUUUCAUUCCGAUGAAUCUUUUGUUGAAGCAUUUAAAAAAUUAGUUGCUAACUCAACAAAUAUUUCUACCUUAUCACUAGUUGGAAAUUUCUUAGAUAACAAUUGUUUAUCUAAAAUAAAUGAAGCCAUGAGUUCUAACAAAUCAAUCUCAAUUUUAAGAUUACCUUUAGAGUAAACAUGACUAUGUUCUGUUUAAAUAAAAAAUAUAUAUAUAUAUAUAUAUAUAUAUAU